This 1461-nucleotide long non-coding RNA is filed under the name Salmo salar (Atlantic salmon). RNAcentral describes it as "lncRNA (ENSSSAG00000084987.1)". Lineage: Eukaryota; Metazoa; Chordata; Actinopteri; Salmoniformes; Salmonidae. The record is from RNAcentral.
GGGGAUGUCUAGGUGUCUGGGGAAGGUCUGAACCAGUCAACCCAGAGGGGAUGUCUAGGUGUCUGGGGAAGGUCUGAACCAGUCAACCCAGAGGGGAUGUCUAGGUGUCUGGGGAAGGUCUGAACCAGUCAACUCAGAGGGGAUGUCUAGGUGUCUGGGGAAGGUCUGAACCAGUCAACCCAGAGGGGAUGUCUAGGUCUCUGGAGAAGGUCUGAACCAGUCAACCCAGAGGGGAUGUCUAGGUCUCUGGAGAAGGUCUGAGCCAGGCGUUCCACCCUAUUCUAUAUGGAGGUAGAGUCCCUAUCCUCCAGCCCAGGAAUGUGUCCCAAAUGGAAGUCUAUUCCCAAUUUAGUGCACUACAUUUGACCAGACAUUUGGGAUGACACAAGCCUCAGAGGCCAUGAAAUCCACCUGGUCAGGGAUCUGCCCUCCAGUCUCCAUGCAAUAAUUCUGGAGCUGCUGGGUUUAUAAAUGAGGCCACAUAUAUACCACCAUCAACCCCUACUCUAGCACCAUCCUGGCUGGUGCUGCAAAAUUACAGUGACUUUACCAAAAUCCAUAUUCCCUCCUGAUUCUGGGAAUCUUCCAAUCAGGUUUCAUGGGAAAGUUAUCAGAAUAUUGCAAACCUAAUCCAGGCAGUGCUGCUUGGUGUUGUCAAUCGAAUUAUGCUUGCAUUCCAAAUAUGGUCUCCACCUGAGAAUAAGGAGAAACCUUUUUUGUUCUAGGUAGAACCAUUUUUGGUUCCAUGUAGAACCCGUUUGAGUUCCAUGUAGAACUUCAAAGGGUUCUCCUAUGGGGACAGCCGAAGAACCCUUUGAGGUUCUACAUAGCUCCUUUUUUUCUAAGCGUGUACACAUACUCUGGCAGCCGUUUCACUGCUUUCUGACAUCCCAUAUGUCAGUGACAGCCACAGAUUAGGACUUUCAGAAAGUUACAUAAAAACAAAAAUGCACGACAAACGCAGCAGUACCCUCAUCCCUUCAAGGGUGACCACAUCCCAAAUUACAACCUGUUCUUUAUUUAGUGCACUACUUUUGACCAGAGCGCUAUGGGCUAUGUAAGGAAUGGGUACACUACAUUGGGAAGAGGGUGCUACUUGGGACACAGCCAGUGAAGAUCAGCAGCAACCCAGACUACUCUUGUCAACACUGUCAGUGUGAUUCCAAUGCUCUGUCUGUCUGUCUGUCUGUCUGUCUGUCUGUCUGUCUGUCUGUCUGUCUGUCUGUCUGUCUGUCUGGUUCCAACACUCUGUCUGUCUGUCUGUCUGUCUGUCUGUCUGUCUGUCUGUCUGUCUGUCUGUCUGUCUGUCUGUCUGUCUGUCUGUCUGUCUGUCUGUCUGUCUGUCUGUCUGGUUCCAACACUCUGUCUGUCUGUCUGUCUGUCUGUCUGUCUGUCUGUCUGUCUGUCUGUCUGUCUGUCUGUCUGUCUGUCUGUCUGUCUGUCUGUCUGUCUGUCUGUCUG